Non-coding RNA from Triticum aestivum (bread wheat), 142 nucleotides. Lineage: Eukaryota; Viridiplantae; Streptophyta; Magnoliopsida; Poales; Poaceae. The record is from Rfam.
AUGGUACUCCCUCUGUCCGAAAAUACUUGUCAUCAAAAUGGAAAAUGGAUAAAAAGAGAUGUAUGUAGAAUUAAAAUACGUCUAGAUACAUCCUCUUUUAUCUAUUUUGAUGACAAGUAUGCCUGGACGGAGGGAGUUGAAC